This is a long non-coding RNA of Perca fluviatilis (European perch), 430 nucleotides long. RefSeq lists it as uncharacterized. Lineage: Eukaryota; Metazoa; Chordata; Actinopteri; Perciformes; Percidae. The transcript has 3 exons. The record is from RefSeq and is a predicted model, not a curated record.
GGUAAAUAUGCACUGCUGUUGUAUGGUCUCCUUCUCCUUCUCCCAUCUCUACCUGAGCCAUCACCGACACCCACGGUGACUGCCCAGCACUAAGUCUCUGUUGCUCAGCCAUCCAUCCAUCCAGGCCCAGCCCCUCCACCCUCACCCACCCUCCCACAUGGGUGACAUUCUUCAGAGGUGUCUGAGCCAGAGUUAGAGGCUACUACUGGGCCACAGGGAGCAGCCAUGGAGUUCAAGUUCAACAUCAUGUAACAUGUAUUUUAUGUACCAAAUAUGUGAAGAGGUGGUGUUGGGGCUCUAUAGUCAUCCUGCUGCUGAGCCCUCCUCAAGCCACCUACACCAACUGGACCUCACCCACAGCCUGUUAUUCUUUCCACUGGGAAGGUGACUAACUGUUAGAAGAGCAGGGAGGAGGGUCUGUCUUAGCCUA